UCUUUCCAAUGUGAGGGCUU
RNAcentral lists this unclassified non-coding RNA (20 nucleotides) under Dictyostelium discoideum. The record is from RNAcentral. Lineage: Eukaryota; Evosea; Eumycetozoa; Dictyosteliales; Dictyosteliaceae.